CCGUUUGGAACAUGUUCUUCAGCGUGUACCCCUAGAUCUGGACUUCUUAGACUUCAUUUGCACUCAAGAACAUGUCUUUUUAAAUGCUUUGUCUAGUCAGUUAACAGUCUGUCCUGCUAUUUUAGAGGAACUGACAUAUCUGCAAAGACUUAUUAGUACUGAAAAAGAAAGAACAAACAGUUGCAUUGCUGUUGUGCAAUGGGAGCAGGGUCCAGCUGGGCGACAACGAAUGGCGCUAUCCUCAGACUACCUUUGUAGCCUUCUGGAACUUAAUCUUCCGGUCACAUGCAUAGCCAAACUCUUGGCUACAGCAUUGUCAUUUUUGGUGGCAUUGAUGGUUUUUCACGCAAAAUAAUGUAUCAUGGUACAGCAUCCAACAAUCUGGCAGCAACUACACUAUCUUUCUUCCAAAGGGCAGUUGAAAAGUUUGGUUUUCCUCUGAGGGUACGUGCUGAUCACGGGGGAGAAAACGUAGACGUUGCACAACUUAUGUUUACGGUCCGUGGCACUGGAAGAAGCAGCUUCAUUUCUGGAAAAAGUGUUCACAACCAAAGGUUUGUUUGUUUUAAGAACCCGAUAUGUGAGUGUUUUUUUGUUUUUUUUUGUACAAGUAGUAAUAGGACAACUGCACUGUCAAAGCAUGUGCUACUUUAAGUUGGAUUUAGUUGGACACACAAUUCAUU
This is a non-coding RNA of Oryzias latipes (Japanese medaka), 683 nucleotides long. Lineage: Eukaryota; Metazoa; Chordata; Actinopteri; Beloniformes; Adrianichthyidae. The record is from RefSeq and is a predicted model, not a curated record.